UCAACCAACAACUUGCCAUCCUGAGACAAGGCCGGGUAUAGCCCACAAAGAUAUACGCCAUUGCACAACCCAAGGGGGGGUGCCAACCCAGACAGGAAGAUCACAUCAGUGACUCAACACACUCAAGUGACGCACCCCUCCUAGGGACGGCAUGAAAGAGCACCAAGAAACGCCGAGUGGCUGCCUCUCAUGAGUUAAACACUAAUUGAAGGCAUCAGGAGCAGCAGUAGCAGUUUGGACGUGGGCUCUGAGAGGGCUGCAGUCUGAAUAGCACGCGUCCUUGGGCUGAGAAUGCCACAAAGGAGAGAGCUAACAGCUGUGUGUAUAGGGUCAACUCUACCUACUACCAGGGACAAAUCACAACUCAACAAUGGAUUGACGGAUGAGAAAAAGAAGAGGUGUAAUUCUAUGGGAUGAUGAUGAUGACAGAACUAUAGGAGUUUGUAUUUUACAUUUUGUAGUCUAACAUUGAGGUUCCGAGUUGCAAGUACGAUUUGCAAAUGUGUAAUUUAAUUUUGGAAGCUUGAUUCAUGAUGUGUGAAAGAUUUAACAGUCGCAAACUUGUAACUUGACAUUUGCAUACAUUCAAUUAGUAUAAUUUAUUUUCAGAAUCUU
Long non-coding RNA from Oncorhynchus masou masou (cherry salmon), 615 nucleotides. RefSeq lists it as uncharacterized. The transcript is spliced from 3 exons. The record is from RefSeq and is a predicted model, not a curated record. Lineage: Eukaryota; Metazoa; Chordata; Actinopteri; Salmoniformes; Salmonidae.